Dama dama (fallow deer) is the source of this 3184-nucleotide long non-coding RNA. RefSeq lists it as uncharacterized. The record is from RefSeq and is a predicted model, not a curated record. NCBI's taxonomy places the organism in Eukaryota, Metazoa, Chordata, Mammalia, Artiodactyla, Cervidae. The transcript is spliced from 8 exons.
ACCACCUCCCCCAAGCCCCGCACCCCGAUCCCGGUCUCUCUCUAGGUCAAUGAGUCCGCCCCAGCCGCGAGCGACGCGUCUUUGGGGGAUGAGGAGCCACAGAGAAUCCUCCUCUCUCGGGGACCGAGGUCCUUGCUCCCGGGUGAGAAUUGUCUCUAGAAUGCAGCAGACCACGAGGUGGCAGUUCCAAGUGCACUGGAGCAAUGAGCUUCCUCCAUGGUCAGGAGAUGGCUGCAGCAGUUCCAGCUAACACAAUCUCACACACGUGUCCAGAGUAUGAAGGCCUCUGGUUCUAUUCAGCUGCCUCCUCUUUUGGUUUUUUAAUCUGUGGGCUUCCACUCAGUCAUUGAUGGGAGAAGAUUCCGAUUGGAGCUGCUUUGGCUUACAAAGGAGAUGUAAGAGACACGAGUUCUACCCCUGGUUCAGGAAGAUCUCCUGGAGGAGAGCAUGGCAACCCACUGAAGUAUUCUUGCCUGGAGAAUUCCAAGGACAGAGGAGCCUGAGAAUGAGCACAUAUUGCUAUGCACAAGAGGAAAUUGCCAGUCUGAAAAUUUCCCUUUGUGGUGUCUAAUGGAGUAAUCCAGAAUCCUCUUCUGGGAGCUGAGAGUCUUUAUACAAGAAGUCCAUCUUCUCUGACACUGCCAUCCUAGAGAGGCCUUGAGUGGAAACUUUUGUUGACAGAUCCUGCUAAGCUCACCCUUUUUGCCAUCCCUAUCAAGUAACAUGAGUGAGCUGUUGCGGACCCUCCAGACCUUGAGAGUUGAGUGUCACCAAGCAAAUCCUUCAAUGGCACUUGGAACAAAAGAAUCACCCAGUUGAACCUUGUCUGAAUUUCUGACCCAUGACAUCUGGAGAUUUGACAAUAGGGUGUCUUUUUAAGCUGCUGCAUCUUAGAAGCUUUUGUAACCCAGCUGUAGAUAAUCAGAACAGUGAACAUAAAUAGUAAGUUUCCUGACCCGGGAGUGACGUAGUUAAGAAAGGAGUGCCUUUGAUCACCGAGUAUUCAAACCUCUCUGUUUGCUUGUUUGCCAAGGAAAUCAUACUUGCAGUAGAAUCUUAACCAAUAGCAUUACAUGUGCUAGAGCUCAAAACUGAGUCAUAGCUAGGAGUCCAGAGUGAUAUCUUCUCUGUCCUUCUCUUGUUCCCAACUCCCCAGAGGCCCCGAGACCUUCUGCAGUCCAGCUGAGAAUAUGUUUCCAGCUAACAUAUGUCUGAGAGCUAACCCAAGAGUCAGGUUAAUGACAAGAAAAUGUACAAACCUGGGAUGAGACGCAGAGAAGAGCAGGCAGGGGAGCAGAACUGUCAGUGAGAGAGAAAGCGAAGCAUCAGUGUGCAGUGGGUAACAAGACUCCAGCAGAAAUCACCGACAGCUGCACUUGCUGUCUCCAGGAGACUUUCUGCAGGUAGAGGGGAAGGCUGAGAAAAUGCAGAGAGUCUGAGAACUCCCCACGGGAGGUGCAGUGGGAAUCCCAAAGGUGAAUGAUGCAAGAAGGGAACUGAUGCUCUGAUCCAAGCCACCCAGGGCUGGAAGACUUUACUAGUUCCUUAGUGAGGAGAGCGGAAAUAAGACCACACCUGGGUUAUAGAUGCUGUAAUAUGUAUGUGAUAUGCAUCUAAUGGAAUUGUCAAGUAAAUCUGUUUCUAGUUUUACUAAGGCUCUUUUUAAGUAAGGUUGUUUGUUUACUAUUACACAUAAGGUCUCUGUUUUAGAUAUGGUUGAAUGAGUACACAAACUUGGGUGGUCUCAAAAGAUUACCUAGUUAUGUUCUUGGUACCAAGGGAAAGACUACGUUUGAAUCAUUAAGGGCCCUGAAUAACAGACGCCUACGGAGAGGCUUUGGAGAAGGCAAUGGCACUCCACUCCAGUACCCUUCCCUGGAAAAUCCCAUGGACAGAGGAGCCUAGCAGGCUACAGUCCAUGGGGUUGCUAAGAGUGGCUAAGACACGACUGAGCGACUUCACUUUCACUUUUCACUUUCAUGCAUUGGAGAAGGAAAUGGCAAGCCACUCCAGUAUUCUUGCCUGGAGAAUCCCAGGGACGGGGGAGCCUGGUGGGCUGCCGUCUGUGGGGUCGCACAGAAUCGGACAUGACUGAAGUGAUUUAGCAGCAGCAGCAGCAGGAGAGGCUUGGGGCUUCCCAGGUGGGGCUGGUGGUAAAGAACUCGUCUCCAAUGCAGGAUAUGUAACAGAUGGGGGUUUGAUCCCUGGGUUGGGAAGAUCCCCUGGAGGAGUAUUCUUGCCUGGAGAAUUCCAUGGACAGAGGAGCCUGGCGGGUUACAGUCCAAGGGGUCGCACAGAGUCAGACACGACUGAAGUGACUGAGCAUGCACACACACACACACAUGCACGGACACACACACACGGAGAGUUGGGCAUUGCCAGGUAAACUUUUCACACAUUCAGCUGUUCAGAAAAACCACUGGUUUGUUUUAACUGAGGAGCACAGCAUUAGAAUUUUACAAUUAAAAUCUAGCAUACUUUAUUCUGUAUGUACUUGAAAAAAAAUAAUCUUAUUUAAUGAGUAUGUAUGAUGAUGAUUAUAAUAAUUAUUUAGUCCUAUUACAUGAAACCCUCUUCCAAGGAAGUGCAAAGCCUUUUAAAUAAGCCACUUCUAAAAACCAUCACAUCCCAUCGCUCUAUUGCAUGCAGCAGCACUCGGGAAGCUCUGACUGCGCAGGUUGCUAUAUUAACUUAAUAGGUGGAGUGAAUUCCUGGGUCAGCUGAGGUGGGCCCCUUGCGGGGGCGGAGAGUCGCCUUAAAGAGUUUUGUCAGGGAACAAAGAGCACAUAGAAAGCAUGUCCAGAGGUUUGGUGACAUCUGUACCCUGGCAUCAUUCAUGAUAUACGUUUACAGCCUGCAGAGCUAAUGCUUCCUUCAGAGCCAGUCAUGCUGCGUGUUGGAAGGCAGAUCAGCAGUCGCUCAAAUUUAUUCUGAAUCUAUAAUGCUGACUGCAUAACAACAGAAAAGCAGUCCUGAAAUGCUGUCAUGGCAUGCUCAGUUAUCAUCGCAAUAGCUCAGUGGCUUGACAUUUUCAGCAGUAAAAUAUCCAGGCAUCUUAACUACCCCCCUCAAAAAAAAAAAAAAAAAAAUCACAGCAAUCUUUAGUCAUAGCAGCAAAAACAUUAGUAACCAUAAGAUGAUUCAUUUUUUUUUGUUUGCCUGUUAGCCUUCCUGCCAAAGCGUU